This 61-nucleotide transfer RNA is filed under the name Nithecus jacobaeae. RNAcentral describes it as "tRNA-Cys". The record is from RNAcentral. Lineage: Eukaryota; Metazoa; Arthropoda; Insecta; Hemiptera; Lygaeidae.
AGUCCUAUAGUCAAUUUAUGAUAUUAGAUUGCAAAUCUAAAGUAGUUAAAAACUAGGAUUU